UUUGUUUAAGAUUUCCUUUUCUGGAUUGUCAUGUUUGAACUUUUUAUGAGUGUUGAACUUUCAUGAUUUGUGAAAUGCUUAUGCCUUAUCAUAUGAGCUUGAUAUUUUGCACAUGUUUUCUAGACACAUUGAAGUUUAUUGUGGCUUUGGUUUGAGUCAUUUAUCACUUGUCAUUUCUGUUUUAGGAUUGCCUUAAGUUGAUGUAUCAAUUUGUGCUUCCUUUGAGCUUGUUUAUGCUUACCUUGACUUGAUGAAUU
This 257-nucleotide long non-coding RNA is filed under the name Lathyrus oleraceus (garden pea). RNAcentral describes it as "Pisum sativum (pea) long non-coding RNA (PSAT_LNC037197)". Lineage: Eukaryota; Viridiplantae; Streptophyta; Magnoliopsida; Fabales; Fabaceae. The record is from RNAcentral.